This 198-nucleotide ribosomal RNA is filed under the name uncultured bacterium. Its description in RNAcentral is "partial 16S ribosomal RNA". It matches the Rfam family "Bacterial small subunit ribosomal RNA", at positions 337 to 527 of the family's 1533-position model. The record is from RNAcentral.
UCCUACGGGAGGCAGCAGUGGGGAAUUUUGGACAAUGGGGGCAACCCUGAUCCAGCAAUGCCGCGUGAGUGAAGAAGGCCCUCGGGUUGUAAAGCUCUUUUGUCAGGGAAGAAAAGGUUGUGGCUAAUAUCCAUGACUCAUGACGGUACCUGAAGAAUAAGCACCGGCUAACUACGUGCCAGCAGCCGCGGUAAUACG